Molecule: non-coding RNA, 18 nt
Filed under: Mus musculus (house mouse)
Lineage: Eukaryota; Metazoa; Chordata; Mammalia; Rodentia; Muridae
Source: RNAcentral
CUGUAGGCACAUCAAUAA